CGUUCCUAAUUACGGGGUACCGAUAAUAGAUUAUUAAAACGCAAUUUGUAAAAAGGAAGGAGCGUGCCUAUACAUACUAAGGCGCACGUUAACAAACACUACUACUAAAUAGAGCUUUUUAAUCUAUAAAAUGAAUAUUCUGGUUGAGCUUAGCAGCAGAGAGUGGUUCAACUUCGAUGAUGCAUCCACGGGCGGUGGCUCACGCCACCCGCAGCGCCGCCUCUCAAUGUUUUACGAAAGAAUUUUCUAAGAUGCACCAAGAAGAAGAUGAAGUAAUUGGGAUUGACAAGACGGAUUUGAGUCGAGGAAGCACAUCUCGAAAGAGGUUACGAGGGCAUUGAAGAUUAUAUGUGGGUAUAGUGGUUGGUGAAUAAUUAUAAUCAUUGCAACGGCGGAGCCCAGCAUUAUGGAUAUCAUAUAACCGGAGGCAAGUCAUUUUGGCUAAUAUUAUGUUAUCAUUAUUAUAAUUUAUGAGUGAUAUUUGUAAUUAAAUAUAGUUACAAUGAUUUAUUUUCCAUUGGGAAAUUUUCGAAAGAGCUAGUUUCAUGCUCA
Long non-coding RNA from Salvia miltiorrhiza (redroot sage), 552 nucleotides. RefSeq lists it as uncharacterized. The record is from RefSeq and is a predicted model, not a curated record. The transcript is spliced from 3 exons. NCBI's taxonomy places the organism in Eukaryota, Viridiplantae, Streptophyta, Magnoliopsida, Lamiales, Lamiaceae.